GUCCCACUCCUUUUUGGCUAAUCUACCAGAUUUACUGUAUUUUACAUUCUUUGAUUUUAUAUUUUAUAGAGAACGUGGCGUUGAGAAGAGUGGCCACCCAGUCCUCUCUGUACAAUAUUCAGGGUGAACCUGCUCAUGCCAUUGGCGGGGACAAUAACCAAGACUAUCAAGCAGGAUCCUGUAGCGACACUUCAUGGCAAACCAAUCCCUGAUGGAGAUUGGACCUGCUGGAUGUGUACAGAGUGACCUAUGUCUGGAUCACCAACAGUGAUGCCAACCCUGACGAUCUUGGUUGUGCUGAGAUCCGCAUUGAUGUGCUAUCAUCUCCCAAAUCCGACCAGGAAAGACCAAAAAUGUCCAGUGUAAUAAGAUGGAGGGUCACUACGUCAUUGUGGUAAUUCCUGGAAAGGACAAGCUACUCAUGCUAUGUGAGGUGGAGGUAUAUACCACUCCUGCAGACACACCCAUCUCUGUGCCCUCCACUCAACCUCCCACCAGCAGUACUUCCAAAAUCCUCCUAUCUUCUCUCCUCUCUUCUCAAACAACCUCUCACCUGUCAACUUCUCCACCUUCCACCAGUGUUUCCACCCCCCCCCAAUAACUCCCCCAUCUUCUCUAAUUUCUUCCACAACAUCCAUUCCUCCUCCUUCUCCUCAUUUAACCAGUGCUUCAACUCCCCCAUCCGCUCCUCUGUCCACCCCUCUUCCACCUCCUUCCAUCAGUGUUUCCAAAAUCCCCCCAACUCCCCCAUCUUCUCUCCUCUCUUCCCCAACAUCCACUCCUCUUCCUUCUUCUUCAACCAGUGCUUCAACUCCCCCAUCUUCUCCCACACCCUCUCUCCUGCCCACCACCCCUCCUCCACUUCCUUCCUACAGUGUCCUCUUGAGGGGGAGGAAGGUGACAGUGGUGACGAAGAAGCUGUGUUGGUCCGACGCUAUGUUCUACUGUAGGGAUCACUAUGGGGACCCGCUCAUUGUCCGCAGCAAGGAUGAACAGAGAGCGGUGGAGGAUCUGCUGCGGCGCAGCGACCUGCCCUCCUUCACCCCCCAUCUGUGGCUGGGACUUCGCAGCAGACAGGUGGUACUGGAUGACCGGGGGCCACAUGGACUACAGACACUGGGAGGGAGUCGCACCCCCUAGCUACUAAGGACUUCUCCAACCCCUGUGGAGCGAUGAUCAACAGGGAGGCUUCCUCUGGGUGGAGCGGCGUUGCGAUGACCAUCACAACUUCCUCUGCUACUCAGGUGAAGAUGACAGAAAUGCACUUCCUUACCUCCUCAUGGUCACUCAGUGAACCUCAUCGAACCUCUUUUCAUCCGGUGUUUCAAAUGACUUACUGUACCUCCAAUACUUGAACUAUGUGUUAUGAUGCCGUGUCUGAAUGCUUAGUACCGAGGUACCAUGAUUCAAAAACCCCUGUCUCGUUUUCCUCCUGAGUAACAUCUCUCCUUUUCGCUCCCUCUCUCAGAUGCAGUA
Molecule: long non-coding RNA, 1476 nt
Organism: Coregonus clupeaformis (lake whitefish)
Lineage: Eukaryota; Metazoa; Chordata; Actinopteri; Salmoniformes; Salmonidae
Exons: 4
Source: RefSeq, a predicted model, not a curated record